Molecule: RNA transcript, 3431 nt
Organism: Mesoplodon densirostris (Blainville's beaked whale)
Lineage: Eukaryota; Metazoa; Chordata; Mammalia; Artiodactyla; Ziphiidae
Gene: METTL21A
Gene name: methyltransferase 21A, HSPA lysine
Exons: 6
Source: RefSeq, a predicted model, not a curated record
GCCCGAGAAACUGACUUGGGGGCCCAAAUACCUUGGGGACCCAUGCGGAGGGAGCACCGCCUUCGCCCCGCCGCGGCAUCCCCGCUCCGGGCCCCUGCCCCACACCCGCCACUCCGCGCCGCUGGCGCUCGGGGAGCACUUGUCCGGGGAAAGCUGGGAACCGGAAACGCGCCCCGGCGCGGGCCCCCCGCCCGCCCGCACGCACGCCGGUCUACCGGCUCUAUGGCCCUUUAAGGCGGAUGUUUCCGCCGUCGACCUGGGGGCGGGGAAAGCGUCGAGCGCACCAGGGCCGCCUCCGGAGCCGUAAGUGGAGGCGAGGGGGAGCCGCGGACCCUAGCGUGUGGCGGGCCAGCGUCUCUGGAGGGGGGCCCCUCUCCAAGGUCCCGCCCCUACCUCGCCUGUUCCCGCAGCUCCGGGGCCCGCGGAAAGGAACUUUGAGCGAGCAGAGAGCUGGGCGCGGGCGAGAUGGCCCUGGUGCCCUAUGAAGAGACCGCGGAAAUGGGGCUGCAGAGAUUUCACAAGCCUGUUGCCACCUUCUCCUUGGCAAACCACACGAUACAGAUCCGGCAGGACUGGAAGCAACUGGGAGUCGCAGCGGUGGUUUGGGACGCGGCUGUCAUUCUGGCCACGUAUCUGGAGAUGGGAGCUGUGGAGCUCAGGGGCUGCUCUGCCGUGGAGCUGGGUGCUGGCACGGGGCUGGUGGGCAUGGUGGCUGCCCUGCUGGAAAAGCAGCAGCCAGCAAAGUCUACAAAAACAGAAGAAAAAAAGAAAAAUCAGUGUUUAUCCAGGACUGUUCAGAGUAAGAAGUGCUCUUAUUGUGUACAGUUAGCUUCUACUUAUUUGAGAGAAGCAACUCAAGAUGAAGAGAAGUACUCUGUAUGGUCCUGAAUCCAGCAGCUCAUUGGCCUUCCGAUAUCUCUUCAUCUGCAACUACAUAAGGAUGGUUGUUCCUAGCAAUUUUGGAAGAAGCCCUCUGCUACAUAUAGACACAUUUCAAAGUUGGCAUUCUACAAUUUUUAUUAAGCAAAACUUCAAGGUAAAGACCUGUGCAUUUCUGGAAAAGUAUCCUUGGAUUGAGAAGUAAUAAAGGCAUAAUCACACCAGCAGAGAAGAAUGGGAAAGGAGAUAACAGUAAGAGUUUUGGAGGCUGGAAAUGGAUGAAUGGUAAUGAAUUUGGAAAACCUCAGAAGGCCAACUCAUGAGGUGGAGGCAGGGACAGACUGAUUUCUGCCACAAAGUCCUUAAGAGGCUCAGGAUCUAAGGCAGCCCAGAAGGUAGAGUGAAAGGAGAAGCUGAAAAUAAGGAAGGCUGAUUGAAGGUCUUUGAAAAGCAAUUGGAUCCUCUCUUCAACUCUCUGUGGAAGAAUAACUAAUCUAUACCCUAUGCUGACAGAAAAAUGGAGGUUUAUUUUCUGGAUAGAAGGUUCCUUGACUGCCUAACACCAGGCACUGCUGAGGUGGGGUACUAAGUCCCAGUCCUCUUCCCUCGUCUGGCUCAAAGGUCUUUACCUAUAAGCAGAUUAGUAAACCUUUUCUCUGCCAACCUGACCAACACUGAAGGGAGAAGAAAAGACUUAAGAGAUAAUGACAGUAGGAUGCCACAAUCAUCUUACCGUGAAGCUCACAACUCAUAGAUGUUAGGCCCCAAACAGAUCCACAGAACUUCCAAUACAGGUUUUUGGUUCCCUACUUUCAAAUGUAGGCAGAAAACCUCGAGUUAUGAAAUAUUCAAGGAAAUCUUCUGAUAGGAAAGAUGGUGACCAAAACAGAUAGAAGGGAGAAAAGGUACAUAGAAGAAAAUCUACGUGGAGAGAAGAAAACUUAAAACUUAAUUAAUAUUAUCAGAGGUAAGAGAAAAUACUGCCUUUGUGAAACAUAAAGAACAUGCUAUUAAAACACAAAAGGACUAUUCAGAAACAAAGGGAACUCUUGGAAACAUGACAGCAGAAAUAAAAAAAAUCUGACAGAUGGGUUGAAAUGUGAAGUUGAGAAAAUCUCCCAGAAAGACAAAGAGACAGAAAACAGGAGAGAAAAGAUGAGAAAAUCAGAGAAACAGUCCUAUAGGUAUAAUAUCUGGAUCACAAGAAUCCUAGAGAGAAAAAAGAAGAAAAAAAAAAUCAUCAACCAAAUAAAGAAAUUGCCCAGAACUGAAGACCCGAGAUUCCACUAAAAAAAAAAAAGCCCACUGAAUACAACUGCACAAUGGAUGAAAACUGAUACAAACCAAGGCCUUGAUGAUGAAAUACUGAAGCACUGCAGAGAUUUUUACAAGAUAACAGAGAUACAAAGUAAGAAAUGGAUUUAGUCUUUUCAAACAGAAACACUAGAAGUUGACUGUGGAUCAAUGCCUUCAAAAUUUGAAAGAAAAAUGAUUUCUUUACCUAGUCAAACUUGCUCAAGGGACCACUGGAAACAAAAACUCCACAAGAGAAAGACAGUAGGAAGAAAGGAAUUUCCAGGAUGACAUUAUAUAGUGGACGUGGAGGAUAACCAGACCAGAAAAUGAUGUCCCAAGAGAUAGAUAUGUUGAAGGUUGUCACCACCAAGAUCCCUGCUGGUAUUAUAUCUUCUUUUUACCAGAGGGCUGAAUGUUUGGAUGAGCCCAGAUUCUUAUCUGUGCACAUUUGCCUUGACCAUGUGCUAAUGAAGUCCUGAUGCUCUUACCUUUAUUCCUGCACCUGCUUCAUCUUGAGUACUUUUACUUCAUCCCUAAAUGUAUUCUGCUUUGCCUUACACCUGAGGGCUGGAGGUGGGUCCAGGUGAUCUUAGGAGAAAACACAAAGCAGCCCACCGCUUCUGACUACUUUCCUGCUGGAGGUCUAGUAUUUGGCCCAUAUUUUAGCUCAGUGUGGUAACCACCUGUGGUUAGCCCUCUGUAUCCCAAGACCCAUUCUUGCUCAUGACUCCUCUAGGAGAGGUUUUAAACUCUUUGGGAAGCUGAAGCUCAACAUACCAGAGCCUUGGCUAGGAUUAUUUUCCUUUGGGAGCUUUCAUCUGAAAGAGGCAAUAUCACAUUUUCUUACCUAGCAGGUUAUUGUUUGCUAUUUGGUUUUUAUAUUAACCACCUUUCUCACUCAUAUGUAUGCCAACAAUUGUUAAUAAAACAUCUGAGAAAAAAUACACAAGAACAAAAAUGAGAAUAUAACCUUAGAAUGCUUAAGACAAAGACAAAAUGAAAGAAUCAUGAAUCAUAUUUAAAAUAUACAGGGACAAAAACUACUAUCAUCCUUGAAAUUUACUUAUGUGUCAAUUUAUUUGCUUAUCCUAUUUUUUAGUUUAAGCACAUGUAAAUUUAGCCUUUCAGAUUAUCUGCAUUCCCAUGCUCCCAAAUAAAUCUGUAUGACAUGAAAAAAAGCAGUUAUCAUACUAGGUUUUCUUCCUUUGUUUAAGAGACAAUCUACCCAUCAGUUUAAAUGUAAUUAUUUCUGAAUC